AUUACAUGUACUUGUUAAUGAUUUCAAAGUUUAAAUAUAAAAUAGUAAAAUUGUUGUUUAAUGAAUUUUAACAUAUUAGAAGGGAUUUUUCUCUGUUUGUGAUAAUUUCACCUUUCCUGAGCAGUGUGAGAAACGUAUUUCUCAUCACUAAUGAAAUACCUGUUCUCAAAAAACACCACUUUCUGCAUAUUUUUGAAUAGGAAGCAUAACAAUCAUUUGAGAAAUAUAUUCCACUACUAUUACUCGUAUAUUACAACAUUUCUCUACUCAACAAUUAAAUUUGCAUUAUUUAAAGUCAGGCAAGCCUCACGCUUUAAAUAUUAAAAUUAAACUGUCUUGAGUGGAGAAAUAUUAUAACAUACUUGUUGCAGUGAUGGAAUCUAUCUAUAUCUGUAGUGGUACAUGUAGAAUCCUGUUUAGGCUUUUAUACAUGGUAUUAUCUAUAUUUUUACCACAACCUGAUUAUUGCUAUGUUUUGUUUGUUUGUCAAAGGCAGCUUAUUUUGUUUGAAGUAGAGUUGUCUAGUAUGUAAAUACAUGUAGUAGAUAUAGAUUACUUUUUAUGAAAGUUUGUGAUAACAAUUGGUCCAACGACACAAUUAUUGUCCUUUGAUUUUAUUUGUGAACAAAUUUAGUCCCUCUUGUGGACAUUGUAUUACUUGCAAAUAUUUUUCAUACUCCUUCUUAAUAAUUUUUUUGAAAUUUUCUAUAAUUAUGUUAUUAAUCUCAAAAGUAAUACAACACACACUGUAAAAAUACUACUGUGAAAGCACAGAUGCUUUUUUUUAUUAGCAUUUAUUGUUUAAAAGAAAUGCACUACAUAUUAAUUGUGUAAUAAGGCCAAUUAUAGUAGAUUUUUCUUAUUUAUCACAAUUUAGUCCAGAUAUUAUUUUCAUAUUACAAUUCAUUUUUUUUUUAAACCCAGUAAUUUUAAUAUCAUAUAAAACAAAUGUUAGAUUAAAUUCAGUGCUUAAAAACAUAUUUAAGGUGGUACAUAACACUACAGGGAGAUAACUCUGUAUUAAUCAGCUGAACGUUUCAAUUAGGUUCUGUUGUUCAGGAAAUUUAAGCUUCUCAAUGAUCAUAAUUGUUGUGAGUCAAAAUGCUAUUUGUCCAAUGAAAAAUUUUCUGAUAAAAUGUGUGG
RNAcentral lists this long non-coding RNA (1143 nucleotides) under Mytilus galloprovincialis (Mediterranean mussel). Lineage: Eukaryota; Metazoa; Mollusca; Bivalvia; Mytilida; Mytilidae. The record is from RNAcentral.